GACGAACGCUGGCGGCGUGCUUAACACAUGCAAGUCGAACGGAAAGGCCCUGCUUUUGUGGGGUGCUCGAGUGGCGAACGGGUGAGUAACACGUGAGUAACCUGCCCUUGACUUUGGGAUAACUUCAGGAAACUGGUGCUAAUACCGGAUAGGAGCUCCUGCUGCAUGGUGGGGGUUGGAACGUUUCGGCGGUUGGGGAUGGACUCGCGGCUUAUCAGCUUGUUGGUUGGGUAGUGGCUUACCAAGGCUUUGACGGGUAGCCGGCAUGAGAGGGUGAACAGCCACAUUGGGACUGAGAUACGGCGCAGACUCCUACGGGAGGCAGCAGUGGGGAAUAUUGCACAAUGGGCGGAAGCCUGAUGCAGCAACGCCGCGUGCGGGAUGACGGCCUUCGGGUUGUAAACCGCUUUCGCCUGUGACGAAGCGUGAGUGACGGUAAUGGGUAAAGAAGCACCGGCUAACUACGUG
Molecule: ribosomal RNA, 468 nt
Filed under: uncultured bacterium
Lineage: Bacteria
Description: partial 16S ribosomal RNA
Rfam family: Bacterial small subunit ribosomal RNA
Source: RNAcentral